RNAcentral lists this ribosomal RNA (461 nucleotides) under uncultured bacterium. RNAcentral's name for it is "bacterial SSU rRNA". It matches the Rfam family "Bacterial small subunit ribosomal RNA", at positions 28 to 496 of the family's 1533-position model. The record is from RNAcentral.
GAUGAACGCUGGCGGCGUGCUUAACACAUGCAAGUCGAACGGGAUCCCGGGGGUUCGCUCCCGGGUGAGAGUGGCGAACGGGUGAGUAAUGCGUGACCGACCUGCCCCAUACACCGGAAUAGCUCCUGGAAACGGGUGGUAAUGCCGGAUGCUCCGGUUGGAUGCAUGUCCUUCCGGGAAAGAUUCCAUCGGUAUGGGAUGGGGUCGCGUCCUAUCAGCUUGAUGGCGGGGUAACGGCCCACCAUGGCUUCGACGGGUAGCCGGCCUGAGAGGGCGACCGGCCACAUUGGGACUGAGAUACGGCCCAGACUCCUACGGGAGGCAGCAGUGGGGAAUAUUGCACAAUGGGCGCAAGCCUGAUGCAGCGACGCCGCGUGCGGGAUGGAGGCCUUCGGGUUGUAAACCGCUUUUGAUCGGGAGCAAGCCCUUCGGGGUGAGUGUACCUUUCGAAUAAGCACCGG